UACGUAGGGUGCGAGCGUUGUCCGGAAUUAUUGGGCGUAAAGAGCGUGUAGGCGGCUUGGCAAGUCUGACGUGAAAGCCCGCGGCUCAACCGCGGAUUGUCGUUGGAAACUGCCUCGCUAGAGUCCGGAAGAGGAGAGCGGAAUUCCUGGUGUAGCGGUGGAAUGCGCAGAUAUCAGGAAGAACACCCGUGGCGAAGGCGGCUCUCUGGGACGGUACUGACGCUGAGACGCGAAAGCGUGGGGAGCGAACAGG
This 253-nucleotide ribosomal RNA is filed under the name uncultured bacterium. Its description in RNAcentral is "partial 16S ribosomal RNA". It matches the Rfam family "Bacterial small subunit ribosomal RNA", at positions 524 to 776 of the family's 1533-position model. The record is from RNAcentral.